CACUGGAAUUUGGGGUGUGAGGCCAAUGGAACAAAGGGGCUGAUUCCAUUUUCUCAUUUAGGUUCUCAUGUGCUUUAGGAGGUAUUUGUGGAAAGAUCAUUUUAAUGAGUUUGCACUGGGUUUGAAGGAAUGUGGCCCCUGGGUCAGAAAUCCCUACACAGAUUCUGUGUCCUCCCGUGGCUCAUCUGAACCGUCCAUGGGCUGGGCCUCCUUGUUUCCUCCUUCUCCAGGCUCUGGAUGAAAUCCUUCCUUUCCCAAGGGAGGGGAAAGCCAGCAGGAUGUGAACCAGAGGUGCUGCUUUAGGAAAGCCCCUCCAGCCUGGGAAGGAGCUCCUGGCUCCAGACACGUUUCCAGGGCCCAGGAGCAGCAGGACCUGUGCUGUUCCCAGCAGAGAAAAGCUGCCAAGGAAGAAAGGAAGAACUUUCCUUGGUGAAAACCUUCCCAGUCCCACGCUGGGUUUGCACACACAGGAGGCUCCAUCCCUGCUGGAAUCCAGUCACAGCCCCCAGAUCAAUGUGCACUUUAAGGUCUCACAGCCUGACCAGGACAAUCUCCUGCCUCUGGACAUGGAAAAUCAGUUUUUCAUUGUUACAGCACCAGCUCCAGAAUCCUCUGAGGCUGAAACAAAGACAGGGAACCUUCUGAGAUAGAACGAGCCAGAGCAAGUUGUUGUGGGAAAGGAAGAUUAAAGAUGGUAAGUGGUAAAACCUUUGCUCAUUCUGACCUCUGUACUUGGCCUCUGUACCUGGGAAUGGGUCAGCUCUGGAAAUUUCCUGGAGACACUGGAGAAUGAUCCCUGGUCUGCUGAAAAGUGGGAAAACCCCACUGGCAAUUGCAGCCCCUGAGGGAGAGCAAAAGGAGCAGGACCUCAGUCUGUGAGUGUGUGAGAAAUAAGGGAAGGACAAAUCUAUGGAUCACCCUGUGCCUCAGGGCACCAGGAAAAGCCCCUCACCUAAAAACUGAAGUGCUGUUCCACAGGGAGCCUGGAAUUGGGCUUAUCCCAGCUUUCCUUCCAG
This 1016-nucleotide long non-coding RNA is filed under the name Junco hyemalis (dark-eyed junco). RNAcentral's name for it is "lncRNA (ENSJHYG00000006955.1)". The record is from RNAcentral. Lineage: Eukaryota; Metazoa; Chordata; Aves; Passeriformes; Passerellidae.